GAUGAAGAACGUAGUGAAAUGCGAUACUUGGUGUGAAUUGCAGAAUCCCGUGAACCAUCGAGUCUUUGAACGCAAGUUGCGCCCGAAGCCAUUAGGCCGAGGGCACGCCUGCCUGGGCGUCACACGUCGUUGCCCCCCCAUCUAAUCCUUCGGGAUUGCGGGGGGCGGAUGAUGGCCUCCCGUGCGCCUCGUCGCGCGGUUGGCAUAAAUGCCAAGUCCUCGGCGACGCACGCCACGACAAUCGGUGGUUGCGAAACCUCGGUUGCCCGUUGUGUGCGGUCGUCGCGCAUCGAGGGCUCGAAAAAAUUGCCGGGCUCCGGCUCGACUUUCAACGCGACCCCAGGUCAGGCGGGGUUACCCGCUGAAUUUAAGCAUAUCAAUAAGCGGAGGA
Molecule: unclassified non-coding RNA, 391 nt
Filed under: soil metagenome
Description: partial contains 5.8S ribosomal RNA, internal transcribed spacer 2, and large subunit ribosomal RNA
Rfam family: 5.8S ribosomal RNA (bases 1-122)
Source: RNAcentral